GACGAACGCUGGCGGCGUGCUUAACACAUGCAAGUCGAACGGAAAGGCCCUGCUUGCAGGGUACUCGAGUGGCGAACGGGUGAGUAACACGUGGGUGAUCUGCCCUGCACUUCGGGAUAAGCCUGGGAAACUGGGUCUAAUACCGGAUAGGAGCCAUUUUUAGUGUGAUGGUUGGAAAGUUUUUUCGGUGUAGGAUGAGCUCGCGGCCUAUCAGCUUGUUGGUGGGGUAAUGGCCUACCAAGGCGGCGACGGGUAGCCGGCCUGCGAGGGUGGACGGCCACAUUGGGACUGAGACACGGCCCAGACUCCUACGGGAGGCAGCAGUGGGGAAUAUUGCACAAUGGGCGCAAGCCUGAUGCAGCGACGCCGCGUGGGGGAUGACGGCCUUCGGGUUGUAAACUCCUUUCGCUAGGGACGAAGCUUUUUGUGACGGUACCUAGAUAAGAAGCACCGGCUAACUACGUG
This 465-nucleotide ribosomal RNA is filed under the name uncultured bacterium. RNAcentral's name for it is "partial 16S ribosomal RNA". It matches the Rfam family "Bacterial small subunit ribosomal RNA", at positions 28 to 507 of the family's 1533-position model. The record is from RNAcentral.